Molecule: small nucleolar RNA, 107 nt
Organism: Coffea eugenioides
Lineage: Eukaryota; Viridiplantae; Streptophyta; Magnoliopsida; Gentianales; Rubiaceae
Source: RefSeq, a predicted model, not a curated record
UACUGGUGAUGAGGACAUUGAGCAAGCAACGACUUAAAUCGUUCCCAAGUUUCAUGAAUUGGCUCUCUCUCCAUUUGAGCAAAGCAGCAAAUCUUGUUUCUUAAAUC